This 301-nucleotide ribosomal RNA is filed under the name uncultured bacterium. Its description in RNAcentral is "partial 16S ribosomal RNA". It matches the Rfam family "Bacterial small subunit ribosomal RNA", at positions 509 to 807 of the family's 1533-position model. The record is from RNAcentral.
CAGUCGCCGCGGUAAUACGUAGGGUGCGAGCGUUAAUCGGAAUUACUGGGCGUAAAGCGUGCGCAGGCGGUUCGUUAAGACAGAUGUGAAAUCCCCGGGCUUAACCCGGGAGCUGCAUUUGUGACUGGCGAGCUAGAGUAUGGCAGAGGGGGGUAGAAUUCCACGUGUAGCAGUGAAAUGCGUAGAGAUGUGGAGGAAUACCGAUGGCGAAGGCAGCCCCCUGGGCCAAUACUGACGCUCAUGCACGAAAGCGUGGGGAGCAAACAGGAUUAGAUACCCGCGUAGUCCCUGUCUCUUAUAC